RNAcentral lists this ribosomal RNA (504 nucleotides) under uncultured bacterium. RNAcentral describes it as "bacterial SSU rRNA". It matches the Rfam family "Bacterial small subunit ribosomal RNA", at positions 15 to 507 of the family's 1533-position model. The record is from RNAcentral.
GAUCAUGGCUCAGGAUGAACGCUAGCUACAGGCUUAACACAUGCAAGUCGAGGGGAAACGACAUCGAAGCUUGCUUUUGAUGGGCGUCGACCGGCGCACGGGUGAGUAACGCGUAUCCAACCUGCCCACCACUUGGGGAUAACCUUGCGAAAGUAAGACUAAUACCCGAUGAUAUCUCUAGACGACAUCUGAAAGGGAUUAAAGAUUUAUCGGUGAUGGAUGGGGAUGCGUCUGAUUAGCUUGUUGGCGGGGUAACGGCCCACCAAGGCGACGAUCAGUAGGGGUUCUGAGAGGAAGGUCCCCCACAUUGGAACUGAGACACGGUCCAAACUCCUACGGGAGGCAGCAGUGAGGAAUAUUGGUCAAUGGGCGAGAGCCUGAACCAGCCAAGUAGCGUGCAGGACGACGGCCCUAUGGGUUGUAAACUGCUUUUAUAAGGGAAUAAAGUGAGUCUCGUGAGACUUUUUGCAUGUACCUUAUGAAUAAGGACCGGCUAAUUCCGUG